CUUGAAAUCAAAAUUUGUCGCAAAGAAAGAAGACGAAGUAUUUUCAAUCUUUCUUGUUUCUUUAUUCUCAAUUGAGAAAAACUGCCGUGGACAUUGACCUGCGCAAUAUAGUUAACUGUGCAGUAUUAAGAUCGACGAUCGAAAAAACCAACCUCGAACUGAAUCAUAACCAGAAACCCGUCUCUGUUUAAGCAUCGAUCAAUGUCCCUCUUAAACCAACUCUUCAACAGAGGCGUUUUUGGUUCUAAAUGCAAAACAUGCUUGAACUUGGCAAUCUCGCGCAUUAAAUUGCUGCAAAAUAAGAGAGAUUUUCAGCUUAAACAUAUGCGCAAGGAGAUUGCGCAAUUUCUUCAGGCUAGACAAGAAGCAAUGGCUCGAAUUCGAGUGGAACAUGUAACAAGGGAAAAGAAUAUAUGGGCUGCAUAUGAGAUAUUGGAGCUGUUCUUCUAGUUUGCACUUGCGCGUGUUCCCAUUCUUGAAAGUCAGUGGUAAGUUUAUUUACUGCAAGGAGUUUUUUUUCCUUGAUUUGAGAUGAGUUGGGACAUCAAAUUUUGUUCCAAAUGGGAGAACCUUAAUUGAAAAUUUCUAAAAACAAAUGGCCGAAAGGAUGAGUCUUUCUCUCUGUUCUGAUUGUCGAGUACAAUGAUCAAGAUCUAGAUCCAGAGCAGCGUUUUUAGGAUCUUGAUGCUGAACGCACCUUCCUAUAAUUAUUUGAUUGUUGGUCCUUGGGGUGUUUAUGCACACGUCAUAUAAUUUGUUAUGCGAGCCUGUUGGGAAUUUUGUUUAAGCUACAGGAUAAAUAUGGUGAUCAUCACCUUAGCCUUGCUAUGACGGAGUAAAUUCAAUUUGAUCCAGAUGUCAAGUAUAUGGAGAUAUUUCAUGGCUGUUUGGGUUAAUUGCCUGUUAUUUGGCUGAUUAGUUAGUGCACCAGCCAUUCACAUGCUACCCUCCAUUUCUGAUGCUGUUUUUCCUGCAUGUUUCCUGUGCCAAUCCCAUGUGCUGGUACUGGGUUGGGUUGUCAAAUAUAGCAGUAAUGUGGAUCUAAGGUAGUAUAUUUUACCAACUCAACGCUACAAACUUUUAAUCUUUGCCAAUUGGGAUCGGAUUUGAAUCAUUUACGUUUAGCCUUGUUUUCCUAGGAUGACGUCAUUGUCUUCAUGAUGCUUAUUAAAAUUAGAGAUGAUAUCAUGCAUUCUAUUCUUAAGCUAUGUAGACAAUUCUGUACUAUGUUAGAUAACAUGAUUUGACUGAUGAUUCUGAAUCCGCAUCAUCAAUUAUAUGAAAGCGACAAAGUGGAUUCAGAAUAUCUGUUUUUGUAAGCCUUGUACAGGGUAUAUGAGCACCGCACCCAACUAGAAAGAUGUGCUUUCUCAUCUUUGGAGGAAGACUAUUAAGACUAUUGGGGUGUGCAUCCACAACUUUUUUUGCCAGAAAUAAUGUCUGAUUAGCUCAGAUGUAGAGUUCUUCAAUUGAAACAUGGCUUCAUAGGCUUGUUAAUGUCUAAACAUGCAAAAAACUUGAUCUUGGCUGAAUAUGCGGCUUGUUUAAAAUUGUUCAUGAAAUAAACAAACUUAGUACAAUCUAAUUUUGGAACAUUUUAAAGUUUAGGUUAGGCCUAACUGCCUACUUCUUGACCUGUCUUGGCUUUUAUUGUUGUCUUUUCUUUUUUCCUUUUUUAAGAAAGCAUUUUUGGUUGUCUGUUGCAUGACUCGGAUAUAAUAUCUGACCCUCUAUGUUAUCUCCAGGGUGGUUCAAAGCAGAUUGUGGCUGAAGCCACACUUCCUCAAGCUCCUACCAAACAGAGCUUUCCUCUAUCUCCACUUUCCAAUGGGGUCCAUCAUACCAUAAUAAGGAUAGCAAACAAGGAUCUCAUCAUCUUCAAGCUUCUGGCACUGUGAGCAAUAUGCCCCAGGUCACUUCUAACAAAAUUGAACCAUCAAUCAGGAAUCAUAAUGCCGGACCAUUGACUGAUGGUAAUAGGUAGACAACACCACAAGCAUCUGAUGCUUUUGGGGAGAGCUCGAGCUGCCAUUGCAUAAGCAGAGCGUGCAGCUGGCGAGCUUGUAAAUGUUAAAUUUGGCUUAUUUAGGUUAGGCGAAGGCAAGUCAUAGUUAUUUCAUAAUCGACCUUUGAUUAUAAAAUUAUAUCUCAAGAUCACAUAAUCAAGCAUGCCAAAAAAGAAACCAAAAGAAAAUGUACAUUAUUUCACUAUGUAAAAAAACAAUCUUACAAAAACUGGAAACUACCGAGAGUUUCAUAUUGGUAAUAUUUUUAUACCAUUAUGAUCUUUGCUGAAAUACUAAGAAACCCCGCGAUUGUAUCAA
Long non-coding RNA from Populus nigra (black poplar), 2324 nucleotides. RefSeq lists it as uncharacterized. NCBI's taxonomy places the organism in Eukaryota, Viridiplantae, Streptophyta, Magnoliopsida, Malpighiales, Salicaceae. The record is from RefSeq and is a predicted model, not a curated record. The transcript is spliced from 3 exons.